This 254-nucleotide ribosomal RNA is filed under the name uncultured bacterium. RNAcentral's name for it is "partial 16S ribosomal RNA". It matches the Rfam family "Bacterial small subunit ribosomal RNA", at positions 524 to 776 of the family's 1533-position model. The record is from RNAcentral.
UCCGUAGGGUGCGAGCGUUAUCCGGAAUCAUUGGGCGUAAAGAGCUCGUAGGCGGUUCAGCAAGUCGGCUGUGAAAGUCUGAGGCUCAACCUCAGAAUUGCAGUCGAUACUGCUGUGACUCGAGUCCGGUAGAGGAGAAUGGAAUUCCCGGUGUAGCGGUGAAAUGCGCAGAUAUCGGGAGGAACACCAGUAGCGAAGGCGGUUCUCUGGGCCGGCACUGACGCUGAGGAGCGAAAGCGUGGGGAGCAAACAGG